Molecule: ribosomal RNA, 427 nt
Filed under: uncultured Leotiomycetes
Lineage: Eukaryota; Fungi; Ascomycota; Leotiomycetes
Description: LSU rRNA
Rfam family: Eukaryotic large subunit ribosomal RNA
Source: RNAcentral
AAGAGCUCAAAUUUGAAAUCUGGCUCCUUCGGGGUCCGAGUUGUAAUUUGUAGAAGAUGCUUCGGGUGUGGCUCCGGUCUAAGUUCCUUGGAACAGGGCGUCAUAGAGGGUGAGAAUCCCGUAUGUGACUGGGUGCCUACGCCCGUGUGAAGCUCUUUCGACGAGUCGAGUUGUUUGGGAAUGCAGCUCAAAAUGGGUGGUAAAUUUCAUCUAAAGCUAAAUACUGGCCAGAGACCGAUAGCGCACAAGUAGAGUGAUCGAAAGAUGAAAAGCACUUUGGAAAGAGAGUUAAACAGUACGUGAAAUUGUUGAAAGGGAAGCGCUUGCAAUCAGACUUGCGCCCGGGCGAUCAUCUGGGGUUCUCCCCAAGGCACUCGUCCGGGCUCAGGCCAGCAUCAGUUCUCGUGGUGGGAUAAAGGCCCUGGGA